This 428-nucleotide ribosomal RNA is filed under the name uncultured soil bacterium. RNAcentral's name for it is "bacterial SSU rRNA". It matches the Rfam family "Bacterial small subunit ribosomal RNA", at positions 26 to 460 of the family's 1533-position model. The record is from RNAcentral.
AGAUUGAACGCUGGCGGCAUGCCUUACACAUGCAAGUCGAACGGCAGCACGGGAGCAAUCCUGGUGGCGAGUGGCGAACGGGUGAGUAAUACAUCGGAACGUGCCCAAUCGUGGGGGAUAACGCAGCGAAAGCUGUGCUAAUACCGCAUAAGAUCUACGGAUGAAAGCAGGGGAUCGCAAGACCUUGCGCGAAUGGAGCGGCCGAUGGCAGAUUAGGUAGUUGGUGAGGUAAAGGCUCACAAGCCUUCGAUCUGUAGCUGGACUGAGAGGACGACCAGCCACACUGGACUGAGACACGGCCCAGACUCCUACGGGAGGCAGCAGUGGGAAUUUUGGACAAUGGGCGAAAGCCUGAUCAGCCAUGCCGCGUGCAGGAGUGAAGGCCGUUCGGUUGUAAACGUUGUACUUUGUAACGGAACGAAAGUACU